GAAUUUUCCAGAUAGAUGUUUACAGUAGCUGCGAAGACUUAUAGUUUUAUCCUUUUCUUUCCAAUAUUUACCCUUUGUCUCUUUUUCCUCUUUUUUUUGCCUCAUCUAUAAUCCCUAGGAUAUAGAAUGGUAAUAGUGGGCAUAUUUGAUUUGUUUCUAUUUUUUCACUCAUUCACCAUUGAUUUAACAUUAGCUGUGUGGCAGAGGUUGCUCUAGGUCCUGGAAAUACAGAUGUGAACAAGAUGGACAAAGUCUGUCAGAAGCUUUGAGGAGAAACAAGGAUGGGGAGAGUGAAAGUGUAUAGUGGGGAAACUGGAUGCAGCUGUACCCUGGAGAAUAUGAGGUCUUCCUGGAAGAAAUCAUGCCAAUGAUACCCUGCAUCUUUUAUAUGAAAUCUGAUCUUUCCUAUUUGGUUUCUGAUAAAUACUCUAUCAAAGGCAGGUGGGUGUCUUGCAAAACUGACUGAAGAUUUAAGAUUGAGGAAGGCUAUGUCACAGUAUCUCCCAGCAGAUAGCCCCAAGGAAAUGUUUCUAUUCUGGAUGAAUCCUUUGACAGAUGUACAUGUUCUGAAUAUCCUCUCCCACUCCAUGGCUUGCAUUUUCAGUCUCCUGAUGGUGCUUUCUGAUGGAUGGAAAGUCUUCACUUCAAUGUAGUCCAACUUGCCAAUUAUAUUCUUUAUGGUUGAAGGUUUUCUGUAUAUCAUUCAAGCCAU
Molecule: long non-coding RNA, 712 nt
Organism: Cercocebus atys (sooty mangabey)
Lineage: Eukaryota; Metazoa; Chordata; Mammalia; Primates; Cercopithecidae
Exons: 3
Source: RefSeq, a predicted model, not a curated record